UACAUUAAGGUGUUAAGCACGAAAGAUUUUGAUUCUUUAGGAAUAUUUAGUUUAUAUAAUGUAA
Molecule: transfer RNA, 64 nt
Filed under: Archipsocus nomas
Lineage: Eukaryota; Metazoa; Arthropoda; Insecta; Psocodea; Archipsocidae
Description: tRNA-Gln
Source: RNAcentral